UACAGAGGGUGCGAGCGUUGUUCGGAAUUAUUGGGCGUAAAGCGCGUGUAGGCGGUGAUGCAUGUCGGGUGUGAAAGCCCUCAGCUCAACUGAGGAAGUGCGCCCGAAACUGCAUCGCUGGAGUGCCGGAGAGGAAGGCGGAAUUCCCGGUGUAGAGGUGAAAUUCGUAGAUAUCGGGAGGAACACCAGUGGCGAAGGCGGCCUUCUGGACGGACACUGACGCUGAGACGCGAAAGCGUGGGUAGCAAACAGG
Molecule: ribosomal RNA, 253 nt
Filed under: uncultured bacterium
Lineage: Bacteria
Description: partial 16S ribosomal RNA
Rfam family: Bacterial small subunit ribosomal RNA
Source: RNAcentral